AGCGGCGAGCGAACGGGGAGCAGCCCAGAGCCUGAAUCAGUAUGUGUGUUAGUGGAAGCGUCUGGAAAGGCGCGCGAUACAGGGUGACAGCCCCGUACACAAAAAUGCACAUGCUGUGAGCUCGAUGAGUAGGGCGGGACACGUGGUAUCCUGUCUGAAUAUGGGGGGACCAUCCUCCAAGGCUAAAUACUCCUGACUGACCGAUAGUGAACCAGUACCGUGAGGGAAAGGCGAAAAGAACCCCGGCGAGGGGAGUGAAAAAGAACCUGAAACCGUGUACGUACAAGCAGUGGGAGCACGCUUAGGCGUGUGACUGCGUACCUUUUGUAUAAUGGGUCAGCGACUUAUAUUCUGUAGCAAGGUUAACCGAAUAGGGGAGCCGAAGGGAAACCGAGUCUUAACUGGGCGUUAAGUUGCAGGGUAUAGACCCGAAACCCGGUGAUCUAGCCAUGGGCAGGUUGAAGGUUGGGUAACACUAACUGGAGGACCGAACCGACUAAUGUUGAAAAAUUAGCGGAUGACUUGUGGCUGGGGGUGAAAGGCCAAUCAAACCGGGAGAUAGCUGGUUCUCCCCGAAAGCUAUUUAGGUAGCGCCUCGUGAAUUCAUCUCCGGGGGUAGAGCACUGUUUCGGCAAGGGGGUCAUCCCGACUUACCAACCCGAUGCAAACUGCGAAUACCGGAGAAUGUUAUCACGGGAGACACACGGCGGGUGCUAACGUCCGUCGUGAAGAGGGAAACAACCCAGACCGCCAGCUAAGGUCCCAAAGUCAUGGUUAAGUGGGAAACGAUGUGGGAAGGCCCAGACAGCCAGGAUGUUGGCUUAGAAGCAGCCAUCAUUUAAAGAAAGCGUAAUAGCUCACUGGUCGAGUCGGCCUGCGCGGAAGAUGUAACGGGGCUAAACCAUGCAC
This 909-nucleotide ribosomal RNA is filed under the name Escherichia coli. Its description in RNAcentral is "partial 23S ribosomal RNA". It matches the Rfam family "Bacterial large subunit ribosomal RNA", at positions 245 to 1194 of the family's 2925-position model. The record is from RNAcentral. Lineage: Bacteria; Pseudomonadati; Pseudomonadota; Gammaproteobacteria; Enterobacterales; Enterobacteriaceae.